Molecule: ribosomal RNA, 207 nt
Filed under: uncultured bacterium
Lineage: Bacteria
Description: partial 16S ribosomal RNA
Rfam family: Bacterial small subunit ribosomal RNA
Source: RNAcentral
AGCGUAGACGGCAAGGCAAGUCUGAUGUGAAAACCCAGGGCUUAACCCUGGGACUGCAUUGGAAACUGUCUGGCUCGAGUGCCGGAGAGGUAAGCGGAAUUCCUAGUGUAGCGGUGAAAUGCGUAGAUAUUAGGAAGAACACCAGUGGCGAAGGCGGCUUACUGGACGGUAACUGACGUUGAGGCUCGAAAGCGUGGGGAGCAAACA